CUGAUGACAAAGGAACUUUUUUGUUUGUUUCUCCCUCCCUCAUUUUUAGCAAAUUAUAAAACUAGGCUAUAGACUGUUAGAGAGAUGAGUAAAAAAAGGGACAAGAACAGAAAACAGAUCAAGCAUGCAUAAUCUAUGGAAGAGGACAUCCAUCUUAUUCAAGGGAUGCUCAGAAUAGCUCUCAGCAGAACUGGAGGCUGAAGAACAAUACACCUUGAAUCAUGAGAUUUUGGAUUCUCUGAGUCAGCCCUAGAGUGCCAGGUUCAGUGAUGACCCAGAUUCAAAUCUCACCUAUACUGCUGAUUAUCUGUGUGGUAUCAGGACUUAUGAUUAAACCAACCAUAUUCAUAUUAAGAUGGACUUCACUAAGGAGAUAAAAAUUAAAACAGGAAAACAAGCAUAUAUGAAAAGAAACAGAUCUGCUGGCAUUUUAAUGAUGAUAUUCUUCUUAGCAACAAUUUUGAAAAAAGUUGUUAUUUUGUAUUGAUGUACAAUGAGGACUGCUUUAACAUGUCUUGAAAAUGUGAAUCUGUUCCAAUGGGUACUGAUAUAUUAAGGAACAUUUUGAGCAUAAUGCAAAUUUUAAGUUUACUUCUACAUCAUUUCUUCUUCAAGAAAUAACAAGAAUACAGAAAACUGUACCAUUUCAUAAAUAAUUGAAAAUCUGUAGCCCUUCACAUGCCCACUUUCACAAAAAAAGCACAUAUUGGACAAUAUAAAGCAUCAUGCUUAUUGUUUAUCUUCAGGAACAAUAAGAUCUAUGAGCAGAGUAUGGCUAAUCUUCAUCACCCCCCACCCUCUUCUGCUAUGGCCUCUACCCCAUAUCUAGUAUUGCCAUCUGAUUAGUUUGUUCAUGAAGCCCAGUUCAGGAUGAGGCUGUGGAUUACUUUUUAUUAUAGUAGUUAUGUAUUUUUUAAUCAAUUAACAUAUACAAAAAUGAACUACCAUUUUUGUUUCCUAUUUUUUUAGGUUACUGAUCAAGCUUUUGAGAGUUGUGCUUCCCAGCCCUUUUGCUCCACAAAAUCUGUGAUUUUUUUUUUAUUUCACUAUUUGUGUGAAACAAAAUCAGUCAGAAUGAAUGAAUAUAUACAAAGAUCUUUUCCAUGCUUUUAGAAUCUUUCCCCAUUUGAAGUAUCUUUUAAAAAUUAAGCCACAAGUGCUCUUAAAAUUUUGUCAUAGACAGCAUGAGCUUCCAUUUCAUCUACAAACAUUCUAGAGAAAAUUGAGUUUUGAUGGAUCUUAUACUACUGUCUCAUUUUUCUCUUUAACUGCUAGUAUAUGAGAUAAUGUUCCUGAUGACCUUCUGACUUUGUCCUUUGUAGUGAAUUGCACUUUAAAUCAGUAUACUUUUAGCUUCCAUAUUUCUCAUUGACUUUAAUGGGCUAAAAUAUUUCCCUGCUCGUGUUCUGCUUUUAAUCUGACAUUAGCUAGGUAACAAAAUAAUCAACAUUUAUUUUAACUAUGUCUAAAAUGAGAACAAAUAUGAUUUAAGUAAAUUAUCCUCAAGAAAAGUGAAAACAUUUUAUAAUAUUUACUUUGGUUAUUCAGAGACAUUUAUUACUUAUUUUGUUUCUUGAUUAUGUUCUAUAUAGUCAUAGUUGCCAUAUAAAUAAGUGUCACUAUUAGUACAGUAAAUAUGGUUUUAGAUUUAUUAUAAAUAAAAAGAAAACAUCAUUGCUAAAAUAAUGUAGUAUUGAAUAGAGGAUAUAGGGCCUGAUUUACAAUGAUGAAGACUUGGGUUUAAGGCUUAUCCAAUAAGCUUUGAAGAUGGGCAAGUCAAUCUCAAUGCCUCUGUGCAACUCUUAAAGGCUAUAAGUUACAAGUUUCUGUUAUGUGUUUAAUAUUAAAUAAUAUUAAUCAAUAAUGGUAUUGUAAUAGAUAAUUAGUGUUGAUUAUGUAUUAUAACCAACAUUAAUUAUUAGUGUGAUAUUUGCUAGUAUGAUAUUAAUAAUUUAUAUAACAUAUAUUAUUGUGUCACUUAUAAUUAAUUAAUAUGUAUCAAUGCAUUAUUAUAAUGAAUUACAUAUAAGGAAUUUACUGUGUAGCUGGGUCCCAAUUGAUGCAAACAACGAAUCUCAUAAAGUGGUGGCAUAUAUUUAAAUCUGCACUAUUCAGUUAUGAUUACAUAAAAUUUGGUCAUUGAUUUCAGCUAAGUUGAAAAAUGCAGUACAAAUUCAAAUAAGUCAGCUACUUUAAGGAAUUCAUUAUUCAUAUCCAUUAGGCCCUAACUGUAUCAAUGAAACAUUAGUACAAAUAAAACAAAUCCUUAUAAUCAUCAUUUCCAAAAGCACUACAAGGAUGUUAUAUUUUUGUAAUUAAUAUUAAAAAAAAGUAUAAAAUUAAUAUCAUCAAACUUCCUUGAGGAAGGUUACAACUUCUCUACCAUUUAGUAAAUGGUGUUCAAGAGUUCCACAAGCAGAAAAGGCAUAGCAUGGUAGUUGAUGUCAAGAUGAAGUUUUUCAAAUUUAUUAGCAUUAGGCUGGUCCUGAGGUGAUAUACAGACAGUCCAAUUCUAGAGACACAGUUAAACUUUCCUGAUUGCCAGAGCCUACUAGUUCAUGUGCCACUGGGGUAGUUUUGGAUAACUCACAGAUCUCUAAUAUAUAUAUAUAUACAUAUGGCUUAAGAGAAAGGCUUCAGCAGAGGGAAAUAAUAAAACUAAUAAAAAAACUAAUAAAUAUUGUACCUCUUCUUUUCUUAUAUCACCAUAAAUCUCAAAGUAAUCAUUGUUCUGGACAACCAGUGGCCUGUGAAUGGG
RNAcentral lists this long non-coding RNA (2758 nucleotides) under Sarcophilus harrisii (Tasmanian devil). Its description in RNAcentral is "lncRNA (ENSSHAG00000029087.1)". The record is from RNAcentral. Lineage: Eukaryota; Metazoa; Chordata; Mammalia; Dasyuromorphia; Dasyuridae.